Rhagoletis pomonella (apple maggot) is the source of this 113-nucleotide long non-coding RNA. RefSeq lists it as uncharacterized. The record is from RefSeq and is a predicted model, not a curated record. The transcript is spliced from 2 exons. Lineage: Eukaryota; Metazoa; Arthropoda; Insecta; Diptera; Tephritidae.
UUUUUGGUGAAUUCUUUGGACAAUUGUCAAUUGCCCACAGAAAUUAUCAGGAAUUGCGGAAAGAGAUAUCCAGCUUAUAGGCAGAGUCAGCAGCAUACGUGGCGAUUUUCGGG